RNAcentral lists this transfer RNA (86 nucleotides) under Schizosaccharomyces japonicus. Its description in RNAcentral is "SJAG_16166.1". It matches the Rfam family "tRNA". From Rfam's summary of the family: Transfer RNA (tRNA) molecules are approximately 80 nucleotides in length. RNAcentral also lists the same sequence under 1 other name. Lineage: Eukaryota; Fungi; Ascomycota; Schizosaccharomycetes; Schizosaccharomycetales; Schizosaccharomycetaceae. The record is from RNAcentral.
CUCUGAUGGUGUAGUUGGCUAUCACACCCGGCUGUAACUGUAUUCUAUGCUACCGGUUGUCGCUAGUUCGAUUCUGGCUCAGGAGA